UCUCUACUAACUACUAAUUGAACUAUGCUCACAUGAGCAUUCAUUCCCAAACAUUUUAUUUAUUCAUCUUAAAAAUAAAAUCAUAGUUACUAAACUACUUGACGAUAAAAAAAUAUAUAAUGGGUAGCCGAGACUAGGAGAAAAAAACUAGAACAUGAAAUUACAAACAUGAACUGAAACUAGCAAAUCGUAACUUUUGGAUUAUAACUUUUAUCCUAAUCCAGUUUUCUCAUAGGUAUUUUUGAAGCUAAAGAGAGGAAUGUCAUUCAUACAGUUAUUUGAUGUAUAAUAUAGAAUAAAUACAUUAAUAAUUUAAUGAAUAUAAAAAAUUAAUUAUUUCCUAUUAAAAAAAACCGAAAAUAGUAUUUAUAACUCACGAACGAGUGAACUAACAAUUGAGUUCACCUGAAUAGAAAACAGUUCCAAUGCAAUCAGCUGGAAUAGACGCUACAAACCUACAAUGCAAAAAACGUGUAACAAAUAAAUACGUAAUUUUCUAAAAAGAAAACAGAUAAAUAAUUGAAGAUGAGAUAUUUUUGAAAACAUUAAUUAGGUGACCAAUGAAAUGGGACCAGCGGCCAAACCAUCAAUUUUUUUUACGCGAUGUACAGAUUUUAUUUUUUUUAUUUUUUUUUUAUGAAACUAACGGAAGGAUUUGUUUGGCUAACAGAGUUAAGGACUUCGGAACAACGAAUAAUUGUCUCUGACGGUUAAGAACUGUUCUGGACUGGGCCAAGAGCUGGCCCAAUCACUUAUGCCCGACAUUUGGGGCAU
This 774-nucleotide long non-coding RNA is filed under the name Trifolium pratense (red clover). RNAcentral's name for it is "long non-coding RNA (TPRA_LNC006516)". The record is from RNAcentral. Lineage: Eukaryota; Viridiplantae; Streptophyta; Magnoliopsida; Fabales; Fabaceae.